CUGUAAAGAUAUGUAGAGAGCUGUAGAGCCUUAAUCCCAAAUGGGGUCAUAUCGAGGAA
The submitters of this non-coding RNA (59 nucleotides) gave its source as unclassified sequences. The record is from Rfam.